GCCUGGGUGGCUCAGUCAUAAGCGUCUGACUUCAGCUCAGGUCAUGAUCUCAGUUUGUGGGUUCGAGCCCCGUGCCAGGCU
RNAcentral lists this transfer RNA (81 nucleotides) under Felis catus (domestic cat). It matches the Rfam family "tRNA". From Rfam's summary of the family: Transfer RNA (tRNA) molecules are approximately 80 nucleotides in length. Their secondary structure includes four short double-helical elements and three loops (D, anti-codon, and T loops). The record is from Rfam by way of RNAcentral. Lineage: Eukaryota; Metazoa; Chordata; Mammalia; Carnivora; Felidae.